CCACAGCAUGGCUUGAUAAGCUGUGCACAGGUCCGCACCUGGGAUCUGAACCUGUGAACCCAGGCUGCUGAAGUGGAGUACCCAAACUUAACCACUACACCACUGGGCCAGCCCCUCAAAAUAUGAAGACAGGUCAAAAAGGAAACACGGGAUUUGCCAUGAGAGGUGGCAGCGUCAAGCGGUCCAACCAAAUGCCAGAAGCCAGUUUAAAUUAUCUGUGGAGGUGGCCGGCUGACAACAGGGAGAACUCUCACUGCCCUCGUCCCCGGGGAAGCCCAGGCAGGCCCGCUGGAGCCAAGGCUAGCUCAGACACCUCGCCCCCCAGGAGCUAAACAUAGAGUUUUCAUUCCUCUCAAAUAUUCAUGUGUCAAAAAAAAAGUAGGUGAAUUGCCCACCUCACUGACAGCUGAGCUCACGCGUAGAAGAAGAUAGCAGUCCCACACGGAUGUUUGGGAGAUUCCCUGGGAACCCAAUGAUCUGGCUGGGCCAAGCCACGGUUCUGAGAAAGUCGGAAACUGCUGGAAGGAUUUCUGAGAAAUAGUUCACUAGUGCAGACCUCCUCAUCCCUACUUUUCCUGUUUUACAGUGUAUGUGAUGACUGGAGCUGCAGUAGCCAUCUUGUAAGAAUGAGGAAAAGAAGCCGAGAUCUCAGAGAUAUUUGCCCUGAUGUCUGUAACCUGCUGAACCAAUGCCACCAGCGGCUUCCUUUCAGACUUCUUGUGAUCAUCUUUGUGGACAUCAUUGUUUGAUUUAUAAGGAUGAGAAGAUUUUAGCUAAGAAUUCCAAGAGCUGCAAAUCAUUUCAUCAUAAUUUUCAUCCAACUUCCAUUAUUGGCAAUCUUUUGGUUAACGUCUGGCCACGUCAUUUCAUCUCAUGGCACAUGAGGCGUCUGAAAGUUGUCUUUUAAAGACCUGAGGGGCUGGCGGGUGGCGUAGUGGUUGGAUUUGUGUGCUUUGCUUCUGUGGCCUGGAGUUCCCUGGUUUGGA
Equus caballus (horse) is the source of this 986-nucleotide long non-coding RNA. RefSeq lists it as uncharacterized. Lineage: Eukaryota; Metazoa; Chordata; Mammalia; Perissodactyla; Equidae. The record is from RefSeq and is a predicted model, not a curated record.